AUCACUUACACCAAACAAAUUUUGAAAAUUUACACUAGGGAGUGGUUCUAUAGAAAAGAUCGCGACUUACAUAAACAAAUUUUCUGUUAUUAUUGGGAGUUCAAAAAGUAUUUUGUGUAAGUUCAUGGUGUUUGUCCUAUUGUGAAUUGUGAUUAUCGGUACUGCGAUAAAUUCAGAAUAGUGUAGUAACUACCGUUUUGUCAAGAAAACAAUACUAAACCUACAUAACCUCACUUCUACAUGCAAUGCAGAAAAUGCAAUUUCUCAACACAGACAAAAUGAUGAAUGUCCGGGUGCAACCAAAAAAAAAAAAAAGAAGAAAUCGAGUUAGAAAUUGCGGGAUACGUAGAAGUUGGAUGAAUUGGUAAGCAUUUAUUAUUAUUAUUAACUCCUAGUAUUUAUAAACUAGUUUCAGACUGAUAAUAAUGUUUAUUUGUCAGGAAGAGAAGACGUAAAAAACAUGUAUGCAAUUUUGAAGAAAUUAUUAAUAAUGAACCAAAUUGCUUUCAAGUUUUCAGGGCAAGGAAAAAAAUAAUCUCUCUUUUAGUGAACUCACAAUUAACAAGGCUACAAUAUGUACCACACGGAAACGUCACAAAAACGCCACAACUACUGAAAUUUAAAAAAUGGUAGGACCUCAUUAAGCGCAGACAAAAGCAAGAAUGAAUUCUCAUCGAAAAAAACAUGAGGUAUGAUUUUUUUUAUUUUAAUUAAUUAUAUCGCUUUUCAAUGAAUUGGUUAUAGAGCAAAUAAUUAUUAAAUAAAUAUUUCUGUAUAACGAUUGAAAUGUAGCAGAACAUUGUUAAUUCCAUUGACAAUGUAUUUUUAUUUCACUGUAAGUUGGCAGUGUAUUUUUAUGUUUAAAAAAUUUAUAUUGUGUUUCACAUCAGGUGAUUUUUUAAAUUUAUGCUCUGGUUGCCCAUGAAGCUUAUGUCAGCAGUUUCAGUUUCACUGCUGACAUAAGUGUCAUGGAUAACUACGGCAGAAAUUAAAAAAAAAAAUCACCUGGUACAAAUUUUCAACGAAUUGGUUCUAGGACAAAUAAUUUUUAAAUGUAUAAAUAUUGCCGCAACAUUUCAAAUACACUGUUAUUUCCAGUGACAAUGUAUUUUUGUGUUUAAUAAAUUUUAUAUUGU
Molecule: long non-coding RNA, 1136 nt
Organism: Zophobas morio
Lineage: Eukaryota; Metazoa; Arthropoda; Insecta; Coleoptera; Tenebrionidae
Exons: 3
Source: RefSeq, a predicted model, not a curated record